Molecule: ribosomal RNA, 3798 nt
Filed under: Triticum aestivum (bread wheat)
Lineage: Eukaryota; Viridiplantae; Streptophyta; Magnoliopsida; Poales; Poaceae
Description: partial small subunit ribosomal RNA
Source: RNAcentral
AUGGGGGACGCGGCGGCAGGGAAGGCGUCGUUCCUGGAGAUGGUCCGGUACGCGGACGCGCACGACCUGAGCCUCAUGAUGCUGGGCGUGCUGGGGAGCUUCGGCGACGGCAUGAUGCAGCCGCUCCUCAUGCUCGUGCUCGGCGACAUCAUCAACAGCUACGGCGCCGCCGGGAGCGCCGGCAGCACCGGCAGCGCCUUCAGCUCCAGCGCCGUCGACAAGUUCGCGCUCCGGUUGCUGUAUCUCGCGGUUGCAGUGGGCGCAUGCUCUUUCCUAGAGGGGGUGUGCUGGACCAGAACGGCGGAGCGACAGGCGUCCAGGAUGCGGAGGCUGUACCUGGAGGCCGUGCUGCGGCAGGAGGUGCACUUCUUCGACGCCGCGCCCUCCUCGCAGUCCACCACCUUCGGGAUCAUCACCACCAUCUCCGACGACGCCGACACCAUCCAGGACUUCCUCAGCGAGAAGCUUCCCAUGGUGCUGGCCAACGUGACGCUCUUCUUCGGCGCCAUGUCCGUGUGCUUCGUCUUCGCGUGGCGCCUCGCGCUGGCGGGCCUCCCCUUGACCUUCCUCUUCUUCGUGCCAAGCGUGGUCCUCGGCAAGCGCAUGGUCGCCGCGGCCGGGGAGUCGCGCGCGGCCUACGAAGCCGCGGGCGGCAUCGCCGACCAGGCCGUCUCCUCCAUCCGGACGGUGGCGUCCUACAACGGGGAGCGCCACACGCUGGAGCGGUUCAGGAUCGCGCUGGCGCGGAGCACGGCGCUGGGCAUCAAGCAGGGGCUCAUCAAGGGCGCCGUGAUCGGGAGCAUGGGCGCCAUCUACGCCGUCUGGUCCUUCAUGUCCUGGCUCGCCAGCGUCCUCGUCAUCCACCAGCACGCCCAGGGCGGCCACGUCUUCGUCGCCGCCAUCUGCAUCGUCUUGGCGGGAAUCUCCAUCAUGGCGGCGCUCCCGAACCUACGCUACUUCGUGGACGCCUCGGCCGCGGCGGCCCGGAUGCGCGGGAUGAUCGAGAAGCUCCCGCCUCUCAAGGAGGCCGGCAAGAAGGGCGCCACCAAGGACGUCGUGAGGGGCCAGAUCGUGUUCAAGGACGUGCACUUCACGUACCCGUCGAGGCCGGACACGCGGGUGCUCAACGGCGUCAACUUGACCAUGUCCGAGGGCGCGACCAUCGGGCUCGUCGGCGGCAGCGGGUCCGGGAAGUCCACCGUCAUCGCCUUGCUGCAGAGGUUCUACCGCCCAGACAGCGGGGAGAUACUGCUCGACGGCGACGACAUUGGCUCGCUCAACGCGGAGUGGCUCCGGAGCAAGAUCGGCCUGGUGAGCCAAGAGCCCGUGCUGUUCGCCACGUCCAUCAGGGAGAAUAUACUGUUCGGCAACGAGACGGCUUCGCCGGAGCAGAUCAUCGACGCGGCCAAGAUGGCUAAUGCCCACGAGUUCAUCACCAAAUUGCCCAAUGGAUACAACACGCAUGUGGGGCAGUUCGGGACGCAGAUGUCGGGAGGCCAGAAGCAGCGGAUCGCCAUUGCCCGCGCGCUCAUCCGGGACCCCAAGAUCCUGCUCCUGGACGAGGCGACGAGCGCGCUGGAUUCCGAGUCGGAGCGGACGGUGCAGGACGCGCUGGACCGGGCGUCCGUGGGCCGGACCACCGUCAUCGUGGCGCACCGCCUCUCCACGCUCCGCAAGGCCGACACGAUUGCCGUGCUCGACGAGGGCCGCGUGGUGGAGUUCGGCACGCACGACGAGCUCGUCGCCAUGGACGGAGGCGAAGGCGGCGUGUACGCCAAGAUGGUGCACCUGCAGAGCUCGUCCGCGGCGCAGGCGGACGGGCCCCGCGUGGUAGAGGAGGAGGAGAAGUUCCAUAGCGUGGAGAUCGCGUCGCCGGCCGGCGAGCUCCGACCUAGCCCGGUGCGGUCGUUCCGGUCUGUCGAGCCCACCGUGGAAAUCAGCCAGCUCGCGGUCCCCGUCGCGCACGCAGCGCAGCCCCAGAAGUCGUUGCAUCUUCGUCUGCUCAAGAUGAACCGCCCGGAGUGGAAGCAGGCUCUGCUCGGGUGCGCUGGCGCGAUCAUAUUCGGCGCGGUGCUGCCGCUCUACUCGUACAGCAUGGGCUCGCUGCCGGCGGUGUACUUCCUCACCGACCACGACCUCAUCCGUGCAAAGACCAGGGCCUACUCUCUCAUCUUCCUCGCGAUCGCCAUAGUCUGCAUCGCCGCCAACAUCGUGGAGCACUAUAACUUCGCCGUCAUGGGCGAGCGCCUGACGGAGCGCGUCCGGGACCAGAUGCUGGCCAAGAUCCUCUCCUUCGAGGUCGGGUGGUUCGACGAGGACGAGAACUCGAGCGCGGCCGUGUGCGCGCGGCUGGCGACGCAGGCGACCAAGGUCCGGUCCCUCGUCGGGGACCGGAUGUGCCUGCUGGUGCAGGCGGGCGCCACGGCGUCCCUGGGAUUCGCGCUGGCGCUCUACGUGUCGUUGCGCCUCGCGGCGGUGAUGAUGGCCCUGCAGCCGCUGGUGAUCGCCAGCUUCUACUUCAAGAAGGUGCUCAUGACGGCCGGCUCCAGGAAGGCCAAGAAGGCGCAGGUGCAGGGCAGCCAGCUCGCCAGCGAGGCCGUGGUGAACCACCGGACGAUCACCGCCUUCUCGUCGCAGCGGCGGAUGCUCCAGCUGUACGAGGCCGCGCAGGUGGGCCCGAGGAAGGACACCAUCACGCAGUCCUGGUUCUCGGGCUUCUGCCUGUGCCUGUGCCAGUUCAACGCCACGGCGAGCACGGCGCUCGCUCUGUGGUACGGAGGCAAGCUCAUGGCCAGCCGGCAGAUCAACACCACGCAGCUGUUCCAGGUGUUUUUCAUCCUCAUGAGCAUGGGGAGGGUCAUCGCCGACGCCGGGAGCUUGACGUCGGACCUGGCGCAAGGCGGCGACGCGGUGCAGUCCAUCCUCGACACGCUGGACCGUGAACCGGCGAUCAAAUCCGGCACCAGCGACAGUGCCAGCGAGUCCGACGACGACAAGGAGAAGAUGCAGAAGGGGAUCAAGGGAGCCAUCGAGUUCAGGGACGUGCACUUCAGCUACCCGACGCGGCCGGAGGUGACGGUGCUCGCCGGGCUGAGCCUCGAGAUCGGCGCGGGCAAGACGGUGGCGCUGGUGGGGCCGAGCGGGUCGGGCAAGUCCACGGUGAUCGGGCUGAUCGAGCGGUUCUACGACGUGCGGAGCGGCUCCAUCCUGAUCGACGGCAAGGACAUCCGGGGGUACGGCCUGACGCACCUCCGGUCGCACGUGGCGCUGGUGAGCCAGGAGCCGACGCUCUUCUCCGGCACGAUCCGCGACAACAUCAUGUACGGCGACGAGCACGCGACGGAGGAGGAGGUGAGGAGCGCGGCGGCGCUGGCCAACGCCCACGAGUUCAUCAGCGGGAUGGAGAGCGGGUACGACACGCAGAUCGGGGAGCGCGGGGCGCAGCUGUCGGGCGGGCAGAGGCAGCGGAUCGCGCUGGCGAGGGCGGUGCUGAAGAACGCGAGGAUCCUCUUGCUGGACGAGGCGACGAGCGCGCUGGACACGGUGUCGGAGCGGCUGGUGCAGGACGCCGUGGACCGGAUGCUGCAGGGGACCAGGACGUGCGUGGUGGUGGCGCACAGGCUCUCCACGGUGCAGAACUCGGACAUGAUCGCCGUGGUCAAGGACGGGAGGGUGGCGGAGAGAGGGACGCACCGCGACCUCGUCGCCCUCGGCCGCGCGGGGAUGUACUACAACCUCAUCAAGCUGCAGCACGGCACGUCGCCCUGCCAUAGCCCGAUGCGUGCGGUAAGCAACUGA